UUUUCCAUUAGCGCAGGCUCUUUGGAGCCAUUCCCCUAGGCCCUAAAACCUUACGUUUUGGGCCUUUUUU
Molecule: small RNA, 70 nt
Filed under: Vibrio cholerae O1 biovar El Tor str. N16961
Lineage: Bacteria; Pseudomonadati; Pseudomonadota; Gammaproteobacteria; Vibrionales; Vibrionaceae
Source: RNAcentral